AAACGUGCUGGCCUGCGCGCCA
RNAcentral lists this microRNA (22 nucleotides) under Singapore grouper iridovirus. Its description in RNAcentral is "miRNA-3". The record is from RNAcentral. Lineage: Varidnaviria; Bamfordvirae; Nucleocytoviricota; Megaviricetes; Pimascovirales; Iridoviridae.